AUGUCAAUCUUUUGACAGUUUGAUGCAGGAGAAGAAUUCAUAGGUGAUAGUGUUGAAUCAAUAACGAAAGUGGGGUCUGGGGAGAGUGUUGUGUACGUAGAGUAGCAGUCUCGCGGACCGUACCCUACCUUGUGAAGGUAGAGAGACUGUUUCGGAUACCGAAUGUAAUCUGUUGUAACUUUCACAUGUUCUCUUUAUUCUUGUUUAUUCAAUCUCAG
Molecule: unclassified non-coding RNA, 218 nt
Filed under: Hevea brasiliensis (rubber tree)
Lineage: Eukaryota; Viridiplantae; Streptophyta; Magnoliopsida; Malpighiales; Euphorbiaceae
Source: RNAcentral